RNAcentral lists this ribosomal RNA (484 nucleotides) under uncultured bacterium. RNAcentral describes it as "bacterial SSU rRNA". It matches the Rfam family "Bacterial small subunit ribosomal RNA", at positions 501 to 988 of the family's 1533-position model. The record is from RNAcentral.
CUACGUGCCAGCAGCCGCGGUAAUACGUAUGUCACAAGCGUUAUCCGGAUUUAUUGGGCGUAAAGCGCGUCUAGGUGGUUAUGUAAGUCUGAUGUGAAAAUGCAGGGUUCAACUCUGUAUUGCGUUGGAAGCUGCAUGACUAGAGUACUGGAGAGGUAAGCGGAACUACAAGUGUAGAGGUGAAAUUCGUAGAUAUUUGUAGGAAUGCCGAUGGGGAAGCCAGCUUACUGGACAGAUACUGACGCUAAAGCGCGAAAGCGUGGGUAGCAAACAGGAUUAGAUACCCUGGUAGUCCACGCCGUAAACGAUGAUUACUAGGUGUUGGGGGUCGAACCUCAGCGCCCAAGCUAACGCGAUAAGUAAUCCGCCUGGGGAGUACGUACGCAAGUAUGAAACUCAAAGGAAUUGACGGGGACCCGCACAAGCGGUGGAGCAUGUGGUUUAAUUCGACGCAACGCGAGGAACCUUACCAGCGUUUGACAUC